GGAAAUUAUGGAAUUUAAGCUUAACUACAAAACAUAAAAUUACAACAUGGAAAAUUUCUUGGAAUUUUUUGCCUACUCUAGUUAAUCUUUACCACAGAAGAAUCAAAGUUUAGUUAGCUUGCCCUAGAUGUGGUAGGGGUCCAAAGACGAUCGACCAUGUGUUUCGGGACUGCCCUGUAUCAAAGGAAAUAUGGAAUAGGCUUAAUAUUUCAUAGAUUCUAUCUCAAUCCCAGUUUAUAUUAAGGAAUGACUUACCUGGGUUUUUCAGAAUGGUUCGAAUGGCAUGUGUAGGAAGACAUGAUGUGUG
RNAcentral lists this long non-coding RNA (307 nucleotides) under Gossypium barbadense (sea-island cotton). RNAcentral describes it as "long non-coding RNA (GBAR_LNC020259)". The record is from RNAcentral. Lineage: Eukaryota; Viridiplantae; Streptophyta; Magnoliopsida; Malvales; Malvaceae.